This 2787-nucleotide ribosomal RNA is filed under the name Escherichia coli. Its description in RNAcentral is "bacterial LSU rRNA". It matches the Rfam family "Bacterial large subunit ribosomal RNA". Lineage: Bacteria; Pseudomonadati; Pseudomonadota; Gammaproteobacteria; Enterobacterales; Enterobacteriaceae. The record is from RNAcentral.
AGCGUACACGGUGGAUGCCCUGGCAGUCAGAGGCGAUGAAGGACGUGCUAAUCUGCGAUAAGCGUCGGUAAGGUGAUAUGAACCGUUAUAACCGGCGAUUUCCGAAUGGGGAAACCCAGUGUGUUUCGACACACUAUCAUUAACUGAAUCCAUAGGUUAAUGAGGCGAACCGGGGGAACUGAAACAUCUAAGUACCCCGAGGAAAAGAAAUCAACCGAGAUUCCCCCAGUAGCGGCGAGCGAACGGGGAGCAGCCCAGAGCCUGAAUCAGUGUGUGUGUUAGUGGAAGCGUCUGGAAAGGCGCGCGAUACAGGGUGACAGCCCCGUACACAAAAAUGCACAUACUGUGAGCUCGAUGAGUAGGGCGGGACACGUGGUAUCCUGUCUGAAUAUGGGGGGACCAUCCUCCAAGGCUAAAUACUCCUGACUGACCGAUAGUGAACCAGUACCGUGAGGGAAAGGCGAAAAGAACCCCGGCGAGGGGAGUGAAAAAGAACCUGAAACCGUGUACGUACAAGCAGUGGGAGCCUCUUUAUGGGGUGACUGCGUACCUUUUGUAUAAUGGGUCAGCGACUUAUAUUCUGUAGCAAGGUUAACCGAAUAGGGGAGCCGAAGGGAAACCGAGUCUUAACUGGGCGUUAAGUUGCAGGGUAUAGACCCGAAACCCGGUGAUCUAGCCAUGGGCAGGUUGAAGGUUGGGUAACACUAACUGGAGGACCGAACCGACUAAUGUUGAAAAAUUAGCGGAUGACUUGUGGCUGGGGGUGAAAGGCCAAUCAAACCGGGAGAUAGCUGGUUCUCCCCGAAAGCUAUUUAGGUAGCGCCUCGUGAAUUCAUCUCCGGGGGUAGAGCACUGUUUCGGCAAGGGGGUCAUCCCGACUUACCAACCCGAUGCAAACUGCGAAUACCGGAGAAUGUUAUCACGGGAGACACACGGCGGGUGCUAACGUCCGUCGUGAAGAGGGAAACAACCCAGACCGCCAGCUAAGGUCCCAAAGUCAUGGUUAAGUGGGAAACGAUGUGGGAAGGCCCAGACAGCCAGGAUGUUGGCUUAGAAGCAGCCAUCAUUUAAAGAAAGCGUAAUAGCUCACUGGUCGAGUCGGCCUGCGCGGAAGAUGUAACGGGGCUAAACCAUGCACCGAAGCUGCGGCAGCGACACUAUGUGUUGUUGGGUAGGGGAGCGUUCUGUAAGCCUGUGAAGGUGUGCUGUGAGGUAUGCUGGAGGUAUCAGAAGUGCGAAUGCUGACAUAAGUAACGAUAAAGCGGGUGAAAAGCCCGCUCGCCGGAAGACCAAGGGUUCCUGUCCAACGUUAAUCGGGGCAGGGUGAGUCGACCCCUAAGGCGAGGCCGAAAGGCGUAGUCGAUGGGAAACAGGUUAAUAUUCCUGUACUUGGUGUUACUGCGAAGGGGGGACGGAGAAGGCUAUGUUGGCCGGGCGACGGUUGUCCCGGUUUAAGCGUGUAGGCUGGUUUUCCAGGCAAAUCCGGAAAAUCAAGGCUGAGGCGUGAUGACGAGGCACUACGGUGCUGAAGCAACAAAUGCCCUGCUUCCAGGAAAAGCCUCUAAGCAUCAGGUAACAUCAAAUCGUACCCCAAACCGACACAGGUGGUCAGGUAGAGAAUACCAAGGCGCUUGAGAGAACUCGGGUGAAGGAACUAGGCAAAAUGGUGCCGUAACUUCGGGAGAAGGCACGCUGAUAUGUAGGUGAAGUCCCUUGCGGAUGGAGCUGAAAUCAGUCGAAGAUACCAGCUGGCUGCAACUGUUUAUUAAAAACACAGCACUGUGCAAACACGAAAGUGGACGUAUACGGUGUGACGCCUGCCCGGUGCCGGAAGGUUAAUUGAUGGGGUUAGCGGUAACGCGAAGCUCUUGAUCGAAGCCCCGGUAAACGGCGGCCGUAACUAUAACGGUCCUAAGGUAGCGAAAUUCCUUGUCGGGUAAGUUCCGACCUGCACGAAUGGCGUAAUGAUGGCCAGGCUGUCUCCACCCGAGACUCAGUGAAAUUGAACUCGCUGUGAAGAUGCAGUGUACCCGCGGCAAGACGGAAAGACCCCGUGAACCUUUACUAUAGCUUGACACUGAACAUUGAGCCUUGAUGUGUAGGAUAGGUGGGAGGCUUUGAAGUGUGGACGCCAGUCUGCAUGGAGCCGACCUUGAAAUACCACCCUUUAAUGUUUGAUGUUCUAACGUUGGCCCCUGAUCGGGGUUGCGGACAGUGUCUGGUGGGUAGUUUGACUGGGGCGGUCUCCUCCUAAAGAGUAACGGAGGAGCACGAAGGUUGGCUAAUCCUGGUCGGACAUCAGGAGGUUAGUGCAAUGGCAUAAGCCAGCUUGACUGCGAGCGUGACGGCGCGAGCAGGUGCGAAAGCAGGUCAUAGUGAUCCGGUGGUUCUGAAUGGAAGGGCCAUCGCUCAACGGAUAAAAGGUACUCCGGGGAUAACAGGCUGAUACCGCCCAAGAGUUCAUAUCGACGGCGGUGUUUGGCACCUCGAUGUCGGCUCAUCACAUCCUGGGGCUGAAGUAGGUCCCAAGGGUAUGGCUGUUCGCCAUUUAAAGUGGUACGCGAGCUGGGUUUAGAACGUCGUGAGACAGUUCGGUCCCUAUCUGCCGUGGGCGCUGGAGAACUGAGGGGGGCUGCUCCUAGUACGAGAGGACCGGAGUGGACGCAUCACUGGUGUUCGGGUUGUCAUGCCAAUGGCACUGCCCGGUAGCUAAAUGCGGAAGAGAUAAGUGCUGAAAGCAUCUAAGCACGAAACUUGCCCCGAGAUGAGUUCUCCCUGACUCCUUGA